AGCAGCCGCCGCGGUAAUACAGAGGGUGCAAGCGUUAAUCGGAAUUACUGGGCGUAAAGCGCGCGUAGGUGGUUCGCCAAGUUGGAUGUGAAAUCCCCGGGCUCAACCUGGGAACUGCAUCCAAAACUGGCGAGCUAGAGUAUGGUAGAGGGUGGUGGAAUUUCCUGUGUAGCGGUGAAAUGCGUAGAUAUAGGAAGGAACAUCAGUGGCGAAGGCGACCACCUGGACUGAUACUGACACUGAGGUGCGAAAGCGUGGGGAGCAAACAGGAUUAGAUACCCCGGUAGUCCCUGUCUCUUAUAC
This 303-nucleotide ribosomal RNA is filed under the name uncultured bacterium. RNAcentral's name for it is "partial 16S ribosomal RNA". It matches the Rfam family "Bacterial small subunit ribosomal RNA", at positions 507 to 807 of the family's 1533-position model. The record is from RNAcentral.